CCCCAGCCUCGCUGCUGCCUUGCAGUUUGAUCUCAGACUGCUGUGCUAGCAAUCAGUGAGACUCCGUGCUGUGCUAGCAAUCAGUGAGACUCCGUGGGCGUAGGACCCUCCGAGCCAGGUGCGGGAUAUAAUCUUGUGGUGCGCCGUUUUUUAAGCCGGUCAGAAAAGCGCAGUAUUUGGGUGGGAGCGACCCGAUUUUCCAGCAUUGGAAAUGGAUGGGGAGAAGGCCUGAUGAAAAUUACUGAGGAAGCCUCUUAGCCUAUGUGCUCUGAGAGUAGUGACACCUAGCAGUCGUUCAAAAGAUGAUCAAGAGGAGCAUGAAAAAAUCCCCUGAAUCCAUUGGCUUUCUUCCCUAUACUGACAACAGUUUACUUGUGUAAGAGAUGAGGGUCUCAUCCUUUUGCCCAGGCUGGAGUACAGUGGUGUGUAUGUAGCACACUGCAGCCUUCAACUCCUGAUCCUCCAACCUCAGCCUCCACAGUUGCUGGGAUUACAAGUUAGAGACGGAGUUUCACCAUGUUAGCCAGGAUGGUCUCGAUCUCCUGAUCUUGUGAUCCGCCCGCCUCG
This 567-nucleotide long non-coding RNA is filed under the name Homo sapiens (human). Its description in RNAcentral is "HSALNT0208704". Lineage: Eukaryota; Metazoa; Chordata; Mammalia; Primates; Hominidae. The record is from RNAcentral.